UCCACGUCAGAGGAUUUGGAGAAUAAAAAAUAAGGCAGGAGGAGCAGGUGCUCAGAUGUGUGUUCUCCUCUCUCCUGGCCUAAGACCUAGAAAGGAGGCAUGUGAGACAGGUUGAGAAAAAAGCCCAAAGCAUAAGGAUGUCAACUUCAUUUCCAGGUCAGAACUCUGCGAGGAAAUUGCCUCAUAUAUUGUCCCCACAAUAACCUGGAGUGGGGAUGUUGUAGACAGAGAGAGAUCUUCGGUUAGAAUUCUCUUUGCUCUGUUGUUCUCUCAUUCUCCCAAGAAGAGACUCCAGGGUUCUUGAGAGGUCAGCUGGUGAACUUGACAGAGGCAUUGCCAUGACAACAAAGGCACAAUGACGGCCUCUCCCCAACAAAAGGAGAGCCAGUGUCCAGCAUAGUCCCUGGUGAAUGAUGAUAAAUGAAUCUAGAUAAAGAAAACAAAAACCUUCAGUGGGGCAAGAAUGACUUCAGAAAAGCAGCAUGUGUCAGCAGACACAACAGUAUCUCAUCGCCAAAGACCAAUACCAAUACAACCAGUGCAACAUGAACAGGCUGCUUUACUCAUUCUUUACGUGAGAUUUUGUUUUUACUAUAUUAAAAUGGUAAAUUCACUUACUUAAAAUGAUUAUAUGUAGUAGAUGUUAAAUCAAUGUUAAUUGCCUUCCCCUUCCUUUCACCUCCUCCUCUUUUUAUAGUGAAAGAUAAAGGUUUAUGAACA
This 720-nucleotide long non-coding RNA is filed under the name Homo sapiens (human). Its description in RNAcentral is "HSALNT0376278". Lineage: Eukaryota; Metazoa; Chordata; Mammalia; Primates; Hominidae. The record is from RNAcentral.